CUACGGGUGGCUCCAGUGGGGAAUAUUGGACAAUGGGCGAAAGCCUGAUCCAGCAAUGCCGCGUGAGUGAUGAAGGCCUUAGGGUUGUAAAGCUCUUUUACCAGGGAUGAUAGUGACAGUACCUGGAGAAUAAGCUCCGGCUAACUCCGUGCCAGCAGCCGCGGUAAUACGGAGGGAGCUAGCGUUGUUCGGAAUUACUGGGCGUAAAGAGUACGUAGGCGGUUAUUCAAGUCAGAGGUGAAAGCCUGGAGCUCAACUCCAGAACUGCCUUUGAAACUAGAUAGCUAGAAUUAUGGAGAGGUUAGUGGAAUUCCGAGUGUAGAGGUGAUAUUCGUAGAUAUUCGGAAGAACACCAGUGGCGAAGGCGACUAACUGGACAUAUAUUGACGCUGAGGUACGAAAGCGUGGGGAGCAAACAGGAUUAGAUACCCUAGUAGUC
RNAcentral lists this ribosomal RNA (439 nucleotides) under uncultured bacterium. RNAcentral's name for it is "partial 16S ribosomal RNA". It matches the Rfam family "Bacterial small subunit ribosomal RNA", at positions 339 to 795 of the family's 1533-position model. The record is from RNAcentral.